UACGUAGGGGGCAAGCGUUGUCCGGAAUCAUUGGGCGUAAAGCGCGCGUAGGCGGCUAGAUCAGUCUGCUGUAAAAGUCAAAGGCUCAACCUUUGAAUGUCGAUGGAUACUGCCGGGCUAGAGUCCGGAAGAGGCGAGUGGAAUUCCUGGUGUAGCGGUGGAAUGCGCAGAUAUCAGGAGGAACACCAAUAGCGAAGGCAGCUCGCUGGGACGUUACUGACGCUAAGGCGCGAAAGCGUGGGGAGCGAACAGG
Molecule: ribosomal RNA, 253 nt
Filed under: uncultured bacterium
Lineage: Bacteria
Description: partial 16S ribosomal RNA
Rfam family: Bacterial small subunit ribosomal RNA
Source: RNAcentral